RNAcentral lists this ribosomal RNA (301 nucleotides) under uncultured bacterium. RNAcentral describes it as "partial 16S ribosomal RNA". It matches the Rfam family "Bacterial small subunit ribosomal RNA", at positions 509 to 807 of the family's 1533-position model. The record is from RNAcentral.
CAGCAGCCGCGGGAAUACGGAGGGUGCAAGCGUUAAUCGGAAUUACUGGGCGUAAAGCGUGCGCAGGCGGUUGUGUAAGACAGGUGUGAAAUCCCCGGGCUUAACCUGGGAACUGCGCUUGUGACUGCACAGCUAGAGUAUGGCAGAGGGGGGUGGAAUUCCACGUGUAGCAGUGAAAUGCGUAGAGAUGUGGAGGAACACCGAUGGCGAAGGCAGCCCCCUGGGCCAAUACUGACGCUCAUGCACGAAAGCGUGGGGAGCAAACAGGAUUAGAUACCCCUGUAGUCCCUGUCUCUUAUAC